Molecule: transfer RNA, 75 nt
Filed under: Actinomadura graeca
Lineage: Bacteria; Bacillati; Actinomycetota; Actinomycetes; Streptosporangiales; Thermomonosporaceae
Description: Actinomadura sp. 32-07 tRNA-Val
Rfam family: tRNA
About the family: Transfer RNA (tRNA) molecules are approximately 80 nucleotides in length. Their secondary structure includes four short double-helical elements and three loops (D, anti-codon, and T loops).
Source: RNAcentral
GGGCGCGUAGCUCAGGGGUAGAGCACUCGCCUUACAAGCGAGAAGUCGGCGGUUCGAAACCGUCCGCGCCCACCA